Podarcis lilfordi (Lilford's wall lizard) is the source of this 83-nucleotide non-coding RNA. Lineage: Eukaryota; Metazoa; Chordata; Lepidosauria; Squamata; Lacertidae. The record is from the annotation of a GenBank genome assembly.
GUCAGCAUGGAUAGCUCAGUUGGAUAGAGCAUGGUGCUAAUAAUGCCAAGGCAAGGUUGCAGGUUCAAUCCCAGUAUGAGACA